GGCAUUUAAAUCUAUUAACAUUUCUUUUUUUCUUUUUUCUUUGUUCUUUUUAGAUCUACAUGGCAGUAGAGUGUAUUUUGGCAUAUUGUACAUACAUUUCUCCAAAGAUUCCAGUCCAACUGGCCAAGGUCCACUGCCUGGGUCCUGGCCAGAGCCUGCAUCAAAGUCAAAGCAUCCAGCUCCAUAUUUACAGGGACAAAGGUGACAUCUAAACUAUUUUACAAAAGAAUAGCCUACUGAGAUUUCGUCAGACCCUAAAUGACCCAAGAUAAGGGAACUACCAUACUCAAGCCUGCUCUAGCCCUCCACCUGGAAGAAGAGACACACUCAACACCAGCGCCCACUGCUCUUCCAUAUGAGAGAGGAAAACAUCCAACCACAGCUGCCUCCAGACAUAUCUUGUCCCAUGAGAGUGGGGAAAAUGAGGAAACCGAUGCAGCUCCUUUCAAGAGCCCACACUCACUAAAAGACUGAGAUAUAAUCAUACGGCCAGGAAUACCUUCCCUCACCAAGCAGGGGAAAUACAAAGCAAAACUAAACAAACAAAAAAACAUUCACAUUUUAUACUCAAACAGCAGAAAAUCAAAGGGUGAGGAAGUCAUUUUCUAAAGUCCAGUAAAGAAUGGUGAUUAUCCUGGUUUAGAUCUAGGAAUGUCCCCCCAAAAGCACAGGUAUUAGGUAAUGCACAAAUAUUCAGAGGUGAAAAGAUUGGAUUAUGAGUUCUGCAAACUUAUAGGUGGACUACUCCUUUAGAUGAAUUAAUCUGAAUGGACCACUGAGUGCUAACUGCAGACAGAUGGGUGUGGCUGGAGAAACUAGGUCACAGAAGGUGCCUUUUGAGUGCACAAUGUAACAUUAAGAAACAGUAUGUAGGGCCCCAGGCUUCUCUCUUUGCGCCCCCCUAUCUUUCUGUGCCUAUUUAUGUAUUUAUUCAUUUAGACCAGAGAUUAAAUCUGGGGCACCUAACCACUGAGCUACAUCCUCAGCCCUUUUAUGUUUAUUUUGACACAGGGUCUCACUAAGUUGCUUAGGUCCCUGCUAAGUUGCUGAGGCUGGCUUUGAACUUGCAAUCCUCCUGCCCUCCUGACUCAGCCUCUGGAGCCUCUGGGAUUACAGGCACACACCACCACACCUGGUUCUCUCUGCUUCUUGUCUGCCAUGGGCUGAGCAGUUUCCUCUGCCAUGCCCUUCCACCAUGAUGUUCUACCUCACCCUGCACCCAGGGAUGGAGAUGGCAGAACCCAAAGUAAACUUUUCUUGCUCUAAGUUAUUCUUGCCAAGUAUUUCAUUCACAGGGACAAAAAGCUGAUUAACAUAGGGACUAUAGUUAAUAUUUCAAAGUUGCUAAAAUGUAGUUUAAAUUUUCUCACAUAAAGAAAUAAGUCUGGGAAGCAAUGGGUAGGAUAUAGUAGUUGACCUGACAUAGUGUAUCCUAACAUUAUAUUAGGCCCUUAGGCCCUAUAUAUGUGUGUGUGUGUGUGUGUGUGUGUGUGUGUGUGUGAUUAUCUGUCAAUUAAAAUCAUGAUAAUCAAUGAGCCUUUAGACAAUAUAUCAAAGAAAAUAGAAGAUAAAAAUGAGGAAGAUUGGAAGUUACAAGGGUGGUAUCCAUACAGAUCCCAUGGACAUUAGAAAGACAGUAAAGGAAUACCACAAACAACUCCAUGUUCUUAAACUCAAGAAACUACAGGAAAUGUACUGAUUUCUUGCAAGACAAAUAUGCUAGAUUUAACACAAAAAGAAAUGAUCAAUCUGAACAGAACUGUAACUUAUCAAAGAUACAGAACCAAUAAGGCCAAGCCACCAGUUCAAGAUAGGUUCCUGGUGAAUCCUAACAAACAUUUAAGAUAGAAAUUAUAUCAAUUCUCUAAGAUCUCUUCCAGAAGAUUAAAGCAAAGGAGCUACCUUCUAACUCACUGUAUCAAACCAGCUCUAAUGUAAUAACAAAAUCAGACAAAGAUUAGAGGAAAUCUACAGACUAAGUCCUAAAAGAAGAUAAGAAAACAUAACAAUGAAGUCUUAGCAAAUAUGACCCAGAAACAGACCCACAUCAGUACAGCCAACCUGUGUACAGUAAAGGAGCAGAGGGGACACAGCAGCAUGGAGCAGAGGUCCUUCCCGCAAGUGGGGCUGCCUGACCUGGACGUCCCCAUCACCACGGCUACUGACACAUGUGGGAGGAGAGACUCAGAGAGAAAGGAGGCAGAAGGGGGAAGAAACACUCCUUGUAAAAUAAGGGCUGGAAACUUGGCAAAUUUGUUAUAAAACACAGACCUCUGGAUUCAAUGUUUCUUCUUUGUAAAAAAAAAAAUCCAUUGCGAUGCACAUCACAGGAUGCAUCUUUGGUAUGCAUAUCACACAUGAAUACUUGGGGUUGCAUCUCUGUGUGUGUGUGUGUGCCUCUGUGUGUCCAUGUCUGUGUUUGUAUAGAAAUUCUCAAAAAUAUCUUCUGCCAUUGAACAUUCAUUGAUUUUGGAAUCAAACACACUAGAAAUACCCAAAAAAUUCUUUGAAUUUUUAAAAAACUUUCUAUACUGUUCUUCUGAAUUCUUAAUAAUGGUAUAUUUUAAUUUAGUUAUUUGUUGUUGUUCAAGACCCUCUAACUGAAGAUAAUAAAAUUAACUAGAAAAAAAUGAUGAAGAAAUUUUAUUCAAAAUUCACAAAAAUACAUACAGAAGACAUCUCAGUUCUGUGUCUGAGUUGAUGCAAGGCAAGGAACUACAAUGUGGGAAGCUGCAACUGCAGAG
Molecule: long non-coding RNA, 2744 nt
Organism: Marmota monax (woodchuck)
Lineage: Eukaryota; Metazoa; Chordata; Mammalia; Rodentia; Sciuridae
Exons: 3
Source: RefSeq, a predicted model, not a curated record